RNAcentral lists this ribosomal RNA (589 nucleotides) under Apodichthys flavidus (penpoint gunnel). RNAcentral describes it as "partial 16S ribosomal RNA". It matches the Rfam family "Bacterial large subunit ribosomal RNA", at positions 1811 to 2607 of the family's 2925-position model. The record is from RNAcentral. Lineage: Eukaryota; Metazoa; Chordata; Actinopteri; Perciformes; Pholidae.
AAACAUCGCCUCUUGCAAACUUAAUAAAUAAGAGGUCCCGCCUGCCCUGUGACUAUUAGUUUAACGGCCGCGGUAUUUUGACCGUGCGAAGGUAGCGCAAUCACUUGUCUUUUAAAUGAAGACCUGUAUGAAUGGCAUAACGAGGGCUUAACUGUCUCCUCCCUCCAGUCAGUGAAAUUGAUCUUCCCGUGCAGAAGCGGGAAUACAAACAUAAGACGAGAAGACCCUAUGGAGCUUUAGACACCAAGGCAGAUCAUGUUAAUAGUCCUGCAUAAGGGGAUAAACCAAAUGGAAUCUGCCCUAAUGUCUUUGGUUGGGGCGACCGCGGGGAAUUAGAAAACCCCCACGUGGAAUGGGAGCACCCCUCCUACAACUAAGGGCGACAGCUCUAGUAAACAGAAAUUCUGACCAGUAAGAUCCGGCAGCGCCGAUCAACGGACCGAGUUACCCUAGGGAUAACAGCGCAAUCCUCUUUUAGAGCCCAUAUCGACAAGGGGGUUUACGACCUCGAUGUUGGAUCAGGACAUCCUAAUGGUGCAGCCGCUAUUAAGGGUUCGUUUGUUCAACGAUUAAAGUCCUACGUGAUCUG